GUGGGUGUAGCUCAGCUUGGUAGAGCGCCGGAUUGUGGAUCCGGUGGUCGAGGGUUCGAAUCCCUCCACCCACCCCA
This 77-nucleotide transfer RNA is filed under the name Acidobacteriota bacterium. Its description in RNAcentral is "tRNA-His". It matches the Rfam family "tRNA". From Rfam's summary of the family: Transfer RNA (tRNA) molecules are approximately 80 nucleotides in length. Their secondary structure includes four short double-helical elements and three loops (D, anti-codon, and T loops). The record is from RNAcentral. Lineage: Bacteria; Pseudomonadati; Acidobacteriota.